UGGGGAAUAUUGGACAAUGGGCGAAAGCCUGAUCCAGCCAUGCCGCGUGUGUGAAGAAGGUCUUCGGAUUGUAAAGCACUUUAAGUUGGGAGGAAGGGUUGUAGAUUAAUACUCUGCAAUUUUGACGUUACCGACAGAAUAAGCACCGGCUAACUCUGUGCCAGCAGCCGCGGUAAUACAGAGGGUGCAAGCGUUAAUCGGAAUUACUGGGCGUAAAGCGCGCGUAGGUGGUUAGUUAAGUUGGAUGUGAAACCCCCGGGCUCAACCUGGGAACUGCAGUCAAAACUGACUGACUAGAGUAUGGUAGAGGGUGGUGGAAUUUCCUGUGUAGCGGUGAAAUGCGUAGAUAUAGGAAGGAACACCAGUGGCGAAGGCGACCACCUGGACUGAUACUGACACUGAGGUGCGAAAGCGUGGGGAGCAAACA
RNAcentral lists this ribosomal RNA (427 nucleotides) under uncultured bacterium. RNAcentral's name for it is "partial 16S ribosomal RNA". It matches the Rfam family "Bacterial small subunit ribosomal RNA", at positions 355 to 774 of the family's 1533-position model. The record is from RNAcentral.